Molecule: ribosomal RNA, 607 nt
Filed under: uncultured bacterium
Lineage: Bacteria
Description: bacterial SSU rRNA
Rfam family: Bacterial small subunit ribosomal RNA
Source: RNAcentral
ACGGGAUUAGAUACCCCGGUAGUCCACGCUGUAAACGAUGUGAACGAGGUGUGGGCAGUGUAGAAGCCGUCUGUGCCGGAGCAAACGCGAUAAGUUCACCGCCUGGGGAGUACGGUUGCAAGGCUAAAACCCAAAGGAAUUGACGGGGGCCCGCACAAGCAGCGGAGCGUGUGGUUUAAUUCGAUGCAACGCGAAGAACCUUACCUGGGCUUGACAUGUACGUAGUAGUGAAGGGAAACCGGAACGAGCCUUCGGGCAGCGUAGACAGGUGCUGCAUGGCUGUCGUCAGCUCGUGUCGUGAGAUGUUGGGUUAAGUCCCGCAACGAGCGCAACCCGUGUUGCUAGUUACAAGUGUCUAGCGAGACUGCCGGUAACAAGCCGGAGGAAGGUGCGGAUGAUGUCAAGUCAGCAUGGCCUAUAUGUCAGGGCUACACACACGCUACAAUGGCUGGUACAAAGAGAAGCGAAAGGGAGACCUGAAGCGAAUCUCAUCAAAGCCAGUCAUAGUUCGGAUUGCAGGCUGCAACUCGCCUGCAUGAAGUCGGAGUUGCUAGUAACCGCAGGUCAGCAAUACUGCGGUGAAUACGUUCCCGGGCCUUGUACACAC